GAAUAUUUGUGUCAGAUGUGUCCCAAUAUAAUCAUAGGAAUAACCAGGUCCCAAACGAUUGUAGUAAGCUUCAUCAAAUUCCUGAUCUGAGGUGACAGCCAGGAUUGUUGUAAGAGCUAACAGCAGCACUUCCAUUGCAGCAGGACGGGUAA
This is a long non-coding RNA of Octopus sinensis (East Asian common octopus), 152 nucleotides long. RefSeq lists it as uncharacterized. The transcript is spliced from 3 exons. NCBI's taxonomy places the organism in Eukaryota, Metazoa, Mollusca, Cephalopoda, Octopoda, Octopodidae. The record is from RefSeq and is a predicted model, not a curated record.